Molecule: ribosomal RNA, 207 nt
Filed under: uncultured bacterium
Lineage: Bacteria
Description: partial 16S ribosomal RNA
Rfam family: Bacterial small subunit ribosomal RNA
Source: RNAcentral
CGCGUAGGCGGUUCGCUAAGUCGGAUGUGAAAACUCUGGGCUUAACUCGGAAAGGUCAACUGAUACUGUGCGGCUAGAGUGCAGAAGGGGCAACUGGAAUUCUCGGUGUAGCGGUGAAAUGCGUAGAUAUCGAGAGGAACACCUGCGGCGAAGGCGGGUUGCUGGGCUGACACUGACGCUGAUGCGCGAAAGCCAGGGGAGCGAACG